Molecule: ribosomal RNA, 253 nt
Filed under: uncultured bacterium
Lineage: Bacteria
Description: partial 16S ribosomal RNA
Rfam family: Bacterial small subunit ribosomal RNA
Source: RNAcentral
UACGUAGGGUGCGAGCGUUAAUCGGAAUUAUUGGGCGUAAAGCGCGCGCAGGUGGUUUCUUAAGUCUGAUGUGAAAGCCCACGGCUCAACCGUGGAGGGUCAUUGGAAACUGGGGGACUUGAGUGCAGGAGAGAAGAGUGGAAUUCCACGUGUAGCGGUGAAAUGCGUAGAGAUGUGGAGGAACACCGGUGGCGAAGGCGGCAUCCUGGACCGGCAUUGACGCUGAGGCGCGAAAGCGUGGGGAGCGAACAGG